GUGAUAUGGUGCCUCAUGUUCGGCUCUCUAGCUGUAGCGCUAGCAGUCUUCUGUAGCCACUCUUGACGAGCUCUUGUGAACAUCUGCCCAGCAGCGCCCGCACACCCCUACGCUACAAUCUAGCACCGUACUUAGCAAUUGUUUCACUGUGGAGAAAGUCCAUAGACUUGCUGCCAUUUUCCUGGGGAUGCAUUUAAAGGCGUAACUCCUGUCCUCAAGUUGCUCACCAUCGAAUGUGGAACUCACCCUGAGUAGAUCAUUUUACCUUUAGUGUGAUAAAUACUAUGGAAGAGUAAGCACAAUGCAACCUGAGAACACCGAGGAGAAAAUCCUAACCCAGUCCCUGGGAGGAUAAGCUUCCUCAACCAGAACUGAGUUGUGAAAAGUGAGGAAAGAACUAAGGAGAGGAAGAUGAGCCAGGAAGAGUGCUGCAGACACAGAAAAAAGCAAGUGCAGAGGCAUAAAGUGGCAUAAAGAGAGCAAGUUAGGAGGUUACUUCACCGGAACACGGAUGCAAGGGACAGAAGUUGCAGAAUAUGGAAAAAUAGGCAGCAGAUCCCGUGCUUUGCGCUGGGAAAUCUUCUCCCUGGAUUUCUCAGUGUUCCAGCACGGUCUAGAUCUUCGGAGAGGACGCCCGAAUAUCAGUCCUAAAGACAGAAAACUCUAAGGAGGUUUAGGACUUAUCUCGCCUGGAACCACUGGCUGACAUUCCAGGCUGGUAAAGGAAAGAUGAAGACCUCCCCCCUCCUUCCUUCCCAGAGCAAUGUUCUGUGGGGAGGAGGGGCAGAUGAACCAGCCACUAUACAUAAGCUCCAACUGUCACAACGUGGGGGCUCCUCCCCUGUGGUACGAACCCUGCUGCACAUACAGUGAACAUUUGGCUCUCAUUGUGCAGUCCACGGAGAAAUGGGGCAUGAGGAAGCAGCGUUAAUAUGCUCUGUGAAUAAUAAAUAGCCUGUUCUCUGGCCC
Equus caballus (horse) is the source of this 969-nucleotide non-coding RNA. The record is from RefSeq and is a predicted model, not a curated record. NCBI's taxonomy places the organism in Eukaryota, Metazoa, Chordata, Mammalia, Perissodactyla, Equidae.